Molecule: ribosomal RNA, 884 nt
Filed under: uncultured beta proteobacterium
Lineage: Bacteria; Pseudomonadati; Pseudomonadota; Betaproteobacteria
Description: bacterial SSU rRNA
Rfam family: Bacterial small subunit ribosomal RNA
Source: RNAcentral
GGAAAGCCGCCGUGCUUAAAUGCAAGUCGAACGGUGACGCGGGGGCAACCCCGGCGACGAGUGGCGAACGGGUGAGUAGCGCAUCGGAACGUGCCCAGUAGUGGGGGAUAGCUCGGCGAAAGCCGGAUUAAUACCGCAUACGACCCACGGGUGAAAGCGGGGGACCGCAAGGCCUCGCGCUAUUGGAGCGGCCGAUGCCCGAUUAGCUAGUUGGUGAGGUAAAGGCUCACCAAGGCGACGAUCGGUAGCUGGUCUGAGAGGACGACCAGCCACACUGGGACUGAGACACGGCCCAGACUCCUACGGGAGGCAGCAGUGGGGAAUUUUGGACAAUGGGGGAAACCCUGAUCCAGCCAUGCCGCGUGCGGGAAGAAGGCCUUCGGGUUGUAAACCGCUUUUGGCAGGAACGAAACGGCGCGUGCUAACACCGCGCGCUAAUGACGGUACCUGCAGAAUAAGCACCGGCUAACUACGUGCCAGCAGCCGCGGUAAUACGUAGGGUGCAAGCGUUAAUCGGAAUUACUGGGCGUAAAGCGUACGCAGGCGGCUGUGCAAGACAGGUGUGAAAUCCCCGGGCCCAACCUGGGAACUGCAUUUGUGACUGCAUAGCUAGAGUCCGUAAGAGGGGGGUGGAAUUCCACGUGUAGCAGUGAAAUGCGUAGAGAUGUGGAGGAACACCGAUGGCGAAGGCAGCCCCCUGGGAUGAGACCGACGCUCAUGUACGAAAGCGUGGGGAGCAAACAGGAUUGGAUACCCUGGUAGUCCACGCCCUAAACGAUGUCGACUAGUUGUCGGGUCUCUACAGACUUGGUAACGCAGCUAACGCGUGAAGUCGACCGCCUGGGGAGUACGGUCGCAAGAUUAAAACUCAAAGGAAUUGACGG